CUACACAUUCUGACUAAAAUUUAAGUAAGAAAUCCAUUUCUGAAAGUAGUAUAGACAGAAUUGUGAUGGUAUGACAAGUAAUAGCACAGUGAAGUUUAAUAUUUCAAUAUCUUAAACCACAAAAUUAUGCAUUUAUACACCAAUGGAUUUACAGAGCAAAGUUGCCAGAAAUACUAAACUGAAGUAUAAAAUUAAUAUAUCUUCAGGUCAAAUCACCGGGCAUCAAAAACCACCAAUCUUUUUGUUCUUUUCUUGUACAUUAUUCUGUACCCACAUUCUCGGCAUCUGAUUGGAUCUCUUGCUUUUAUUUCAUUUUCCGUAUGACAUUCUCCACAAAUGUAAAUCAUUGGCUGCUGCUUGGGAGGCUGAACAUCCUUCUGUGAAUCCAUGUUCUCUUGGCGCUUGAAAACAACGGCACCAGGCACCCCCUCAGCCCGCCUCGGUUCAGCGCCA
This 453-nucleotide long non-coding RNA is filed under the name Gallus gallus (chicken). Lineage: Eukaryota; Metazoa; Chordata; Aves; Galliformes; Phasianidae. The record is from RNAcentral.